Molecule: ribosomal RNA, 501 nt
Filed under: uncultured bacterium
Lineage: Bacteria
Description: bacterial SSU rRNA
Rfam family: Bacterial small subunit ribosomal RNA
Source: RNAcentral
GAUCCUGGCUCAGGAUGAACGCUGGCGGCGUGCUUAACACAUGCAAGUCGAACGGAGUUUUAACGGAAGUUUCGGAUGGAAGUUUAGAAACUUAGUGGCGGACGGGUGAGUAACGCGUGGGUAACCUGCCUCAUACAGGGGGAUAACAGUUAGAAAUGACUGCUAACACCGCAUAAUAUAGCGAAACCGCAUGAUUUUGCUAUCAAAUAUUUAUAGGUAUGAGAUGGGCCCGCGUCUGAUUAGCUAGUUGGUGGGGUAAAGGCCUACCAAGGCGACGAUCAGUAGCCGGCUUGAGAGAGUGACCGGCCACAUUGGGACUGAGACACGGCCCAAACUCCUACGGGAGGCAGCAGUGGGGAAUAUUGGACAAUGGGGGAAACCCUGAUCCAGCGAACCGCCGCGUGAGUGAAGAAGUAUUUCGGUAUGUAAAGCUCUAUCAGCAGGGAAGAUAAUGACAGUACCUGACUAAGAAGCCCCGGCUAACUACGUGCCAGCCGCUGC